This 1011-nucleotide long non-coding RNA is filed under the name Numida meleagris (helmeted guineafowl). RNAcentral describes it as "lncRNA (ENSNMEG00000007212.1)". Lineage: Eukaryota; Metazoa; Chordata; Aves; Galliformes; Numididae. The record is from RNAcentral.
AUGAAUACCUGUCGACACUGCCCUCACUCCAGCAGCUCGUGGGUAACGUACUCCUCUAGGAACGUUCCCCACCCUCGGAUGCUCUGCCACAUACAAGGGUUAGACAAUAGUCCAAUCUGUUCUGUAAGACACAGCUGUUUCAGAGAACUCCCGUCUGCUGACAAAACAGCCAUCCUUGAGCAAAAAGCUGAUGGAGUGUAUGUGCUAGAUGGGAAUGCCAGAGGCAACUUGCUUGCCAACCACUGCCUUCCAAGGCUUGAGGCUUUCAUGCAAAGAGGGCCAGGCUCUUCACAGCUUGCAGCACAACACGGAGAAGGACUUGCAAAUUUUCCAGAGAGGACUCAAAGUAACCCUACUUCACCUGAAAAGCUUUUGAAAAAACGACCCCAAACCUGUGCACAACCUGCAACUACCCAGGGAGUCCUCCAGACUCUCUCCCAGCCUUCCUCUGCAUGCCUCAACUUGAGUCACGGUCCUCAUGUCCAGCAGAACGCAGAUUUUGACCUAAGCUACCUGCACUGGGAAAUAAAGGUGCUGGACAAACUGAGAAAACUUUUCCAGACAGAUUCGCUUACAGAGAUCCAGGAAUGGCUCUCAAAAGCAAGCAUAAAAGAGAAAGUCUUCGUGUCCAGACUGAUUUACUCUGAACUGACUGGUAAAGGCCAGCUGAAUAAUCAGCCACGAGCAACACAGGAUGGUGCAGGAGAGAACACGAAUACCCACAGUUUGCUAAAGCCUCGGCCUCCUUCUCAGAGAGGUCCAGAAGGGGAUAUAAAUAACAGGCCUUCAACUAAUGGAUCAGAAGCAAGUCAAAACAUGGAACAUAAAACGGAUAAAGACUGUAUUUUGUUCUCAAAGCUGAGAAACAGAGGUCCAGCACAUGCAGACACACUGCCUCCAGAGAAGAGCCAUGGCUGGCAAUGGAAACGAAGAGACCUGCCCUCACAUGGUGCCCUGCAGCAAGCCGAACAACAGAUAGACCCCUUCCAGCGGAGGCCCACCUCUUCAUAG